AACAUAUUAGAAAAGCAAAGAACAAGUCAUUACAGGUAAUAGUGAAUCAAAACUUAAGAUAAAUACAGGAAAGAAAACCGAGGAAGAAGGACAGUGAUCUUGCUAAAGGAGAAAGUUGAAAGGAAUUUAUUUAUACUUUGAAGGACCAUAAACGUUUAUUUUUAAAAUAAGCAUUUUAGCACUUUGUAAGCAUGUUUCGCAAUAAUAGUCAAAAUAUUUUCUACUAAUGCUUCUAAAGAGUGGUUGAAUUCACUUGACCCUGCUGUAAAAUAUUACCAUAGAUAAUGCCCAAUACAUGUUAUUUAUAAGCACCUUGUUUGAAAUUCGACUUGAACAAACUCUUGUGGUAAUGUUAUUAACUAGUUCUCUCACCAACUAUAUGUAAAUAAAAGUCAUCAAAUCUGUGUUAUACCACAUUGAUUUUAACAGCGUAAUCAUACAGUAGAGAGGAUGUUUGGCUACUCUUGAACCCGGCAGGCACAGAAGGACACUGAGGAAUAUAGAAAUGGAUACCCAGGCAAAAGCGAUGAUCCUGAACAAGAUUUGAACUACAGGUUCUACACAAAUGAAAAUAAAUCUCGUCCAGAUGGAGACUGCAUAGACAAUAUCCAUGCUGAUUGGUGGGGGAAAGUACAAUAAGCUGGAACGCCAUCAAGGAUAUAUUCAGUGGUUGUUCCCGAUUCGUGAACAAGGUUCAAACUGGGAAGCACAGGAAUUACAGCUUCAUGAAAUUGAGUAAUUAAACAAGGACAGAAAAGCAAGAAAGCGCAUCCUCACAUCUUAUAAAAUGAUGC
Dreissena polymorpha is the source of this 794-nucleotide long non-coding RNA. RefSeq lists it as uncharacterized. The record is from RefSeq and is a predicted model, not a curated record. Lineage: Eukaryota; Metazoa; Mollusca; Bivalvia; Myida; Dreissenidae. The transcript has 4 exons.